Molecule: ribosomal RNA, 432 nt
Filed under: uncultured bacterium
Lineage: Bacteria
Description: bacterial SSU rRNA
Rfam family: Bacterial small subunit ribosomal RNA
Source: RNAcentral
AACGCGAAGAACCUUACCUAGACUUGACAUCUCCUGAAUUACUCGUAACUGAGGAAAUCCCUUCGGGGACAGGAAGACAGGUGGUGCAUGGUUGUCGUCAGCUCGUGUCGUGAGAUGUUGGGUUAAGUCCCGCAACGAGCGCAACCCUUAUCAUUAGUUGCUAACAUUUAGUUGAGCACUCUAGUGAGACUGCCUGGGUUAACCAGGAGGAAGGUGGGGAUGACGUCAAAUCAUCAUGCCCCUUAUGUCUAGGGCUACACACGUGCUACAAUGGUGGGGACAAAGAGAUGCAAUACCGCAAGGUGGAGCCAAACUCAAAACCCUAUCCCAGUUCGGAUUGUAGGCUGAAACUCGCCUACAUGAAGCCGGAGUUGCUAGUAAUCGCGAAUCAGAAUGUCGCGGUGAAUACGUUCCCGGGUCUUGUACACACGC